This 492-nucleotide ribosomal RNA is filed under the name uncultured bacterium. RNAcentral describes it as "partial 16S ribosomal RNA". It matches the Rfam family "Bacterial small subunit ribosomal RNA", at positions 28 to 507 of the family's 1533-position model. The record is from RNAcentral.
GAUGAACGCUAGCUACAGGCUUAACACAUGCAAGUCGAGGGGAAACGACAUCGAAAGCUUGCUUUUGAUGGGCGUCGACCGGCGCACGGGUGAGUAACGCGUAUCCAACCUGCCCACCACUUGGGGAUAACCUUGCGAAAGUAAGACUAAUACCCAAUGAUAUCUCUAGAAGACAUCUGAAAGAGAUUACAGAUUUAUCGGUGAUGGAUGGGGAUGCGUCUGAUUAGCUUGUUGGCGGGGUAACGGCCCACCAAGGCAACGAUCAGUAGGGGUUCUGAGAGGAAGGUACCCCACAUUGGAGCUGGGACACGGUCCAAACUCCUGAGGGACGCAGCAGUGAGGAAUAGGAGUCAAUGGACGAGAGUCUGAACCAGCCAAGUAGCGUGCAGGAAGACGGCCCUAUGGGUUGUAAACUGCUUUUAUAAGGGAAUAAAGUGAGUCUCGUGAGACUUUUUGCAUGUACCUUAUGAAUAAGGACCGGCUAAUUCCGUG